GACGAACGCUGGCGGCGUGCUUUACACAUGCAAGUCGAACGAAGUGGCGAACGGGUGAGUAACGCGUAAUCAACCUGCCCUUCAGGGGGGGACAACAGUUGGCAACGACUGCUAAUACCGCAUACUGAAGGAGGGGAUUGCGUCGGAUUCGCUAGUUGGCGGGGUAACCGCCCGCAAAGGGGAUGAUCAGUAGCCUGUCUUGGAGGGUGGACGGCCAAAUCGGGACUUAGACACGGCCCAAGCUCCUACGGGAGGCAGCAGUUGGGAAGCUUCCGAAAAGGACGAAAGUCCUACGGAGCAACGCCGCGUGAGUGAUGACGGCCUUCGGGUUGGAAAGCUCUGUUAAUCGGGACGCGGUACCGGAAUAGAAAGCCACGGCUAACUACGUGCCAGCAGCCGCGGUAAUUC
This 408-nucleotide ribosomal RNA is filed under the name uncultured bacterium. RNAcentral describes it as "partial 16S ribosomal RNA". It matches the Rfam family "Bacterial small subunit ribosomal RNA", at positions 28 to 526 of the family's 1533-position model. The record is from RNAcentral.